Molecule: ribosomal RNA, 399 nt
Filed under: Campodea sp. MD-2011
Lineage: Eukaryota; Metazoa; Arthropoda; Diplura; Rhabdura; Campodeidae
Description: partial 16S ribosomal RNA
Source: RNAcentral
GGUUUUUUAUAAAUAAAAAAUCUUUACCUGCUCAAUGAAAAUUAAAUAGCUGCAGUAAUUUAACUGUACAAAGGUAGCAUAAUCAUUAGUUUUUUAAUUAAGGACUGGAAUGAAGGGUUGGACGAAAAAAUAUCUUUUUUAUAGAUAAAUUUAGAAUUUUAUUUUUUAGUGAGAAAGCUAAAAUAUGUUUGAGGGACGAUAAGACCCUAUAGAGCUUAAGAUAUAAAAUAUUAAGAAUUUUAUGUAAAAUUUUUAUUAUUAUUAUCUUUUACUGGGGCGGUAAAGUUAUAUCAAAUUUUUGAUAAGUUUAAGAUCGAUUAAUUUAUAAUAAGAAAAAGUUACCUUAGGGAUAACAGUAUAAUUAUUUUUGAGAGUACAAAUUGACAAAAUAGUUUAUAA